RNAcentral lists this ribosomal RNA (497 nucleotides) under uncultured bacterium. RNAcentral describes it as "partial 16S ribosomal RNA". It matches the Rfam family "Bacterial small subunit ribosomal RNA", at positions 28 to 507 of the family's 1533-position model. The record is from RNAcentral.
GAUGAACGCUGGCGGCGUGCCUAAUACAUGCAAGUCGAGCGAACGGACGAGAAGCUUGCUUCUCUGAUGUUAGCGGCGGACGGGUGAGUAACACGUGGAUAACCUACCUAUAAGACUGGGAUAACUUCGGGAAACCGUAGCUAAUACCGGAUAAUAUUUUGAACCGCAUGGUUCAAAAGUGAAAGACGGUCUUGCUGUCACUUAUAGAUGGAUCCGCGCUGCAUUAGAUAGUUGGUAAGGUAACGGCUUACCAAGGCAACGAUGCAUAGCCGACCUGAGAGGGUGAUCGGCCACACUGGAACUGAGACACGGUCCAGACUCCUACGGGAGGCAGCAGUAGGGAAUCUUCCGCAAUGGGCGAAAGCCUGACGGAGCAACGCCGCGUGAGUGAUGAAGGUCUUCGGAUCGUAAAACUCUGUUAUUAGGGAAGAACAUAUGCGUAAGUAACUGUGCACAUCUUGACGGUACCUAAUCAGAAAGCCACGGCUAACUACGUG